ACUUCAAUUUCAUGAAUAAUUAAUGUUGUCAGAGUUUUAGAGAUACAAUCGUGUUAAUUGUAAAUAAUUACCUAUAGCUGUGUUAAAAUUAUAUCACAAAAUUUUGGGAGCGUCUGAGUGGUUGUUUUUGUAGUACUUAUCUUAUGUUUCUCUAACUUCAAGAUUGUUCUUGGGAAUUGGUGCAGUAUAUGACGUAACAAGACGAGAA
This 208-nucleotide unclassified non-coding RNA is filed under the name Hevea brasiliensis (rubber tree). Lineage: Eukaryota; Viridiplantae; Streptophyta; Magnoliopsida; Malpighiales; Euphorbiaceae. The record is from RNAcentral.